Molecule: ribosomal RNA, 69 nt
Filed under: Paenibacillus polymyxa
Lineage: Bacteria; Bacillati; Bacillota; Bacilli; Caryophanales; Paenibacillaceae
Description: partial 16S ribosomal RNA
Rfam family: Bacterial small subunit ribosomal RNA
Source: RNAcentral
UCUUUAAUGGAGAGUUUGAUCCUGGCUCAGGACGAACGCUGGCGGCGUGCCUAAUACAUGCAAGUCGAG